CCUAACACAUGCAAGUCGAGCGGUAACAUGAUUUGUAGCAAUACAAAUUGAUGACGAGCGGCGGACGGGUGAGGAACACGUAGGAAUCUGCCCAGAAGCGGGGGACAACCAAGGGAAACUUUGGCUAAUACCGCGUAAUCUCGCAAGAGUAAAGCUGCCCGCAAGGGUGGCGCUUCUGGAGGAGCCUGCGUCCGAUUAGCUAGUUGGUGAGGUAAGAGCUCACCAAGGCGAUGAUCGGUAACUGGUCUGAGAGGACGAGCAGUCACACUGGGACUGAGACACGGCCCAGACUCCUCCGGGGGCAGCAGUGGGGAAUAUUGGACAUUGGGGGCCACCCUGUUCCAGCGAUGCCGCGUGGUUGAAGAAGGCCUUCGGGUUGUAAAGCCCUUUAGGUUGGGAAGAAGUGUACGGGGCGAAUAACCCCGUAUGUUGACGGUACCGACAAAAUAAGCACCGGCAAACUCUUUGCCAGCCGCCGCAGUAA
This 484-nucleotide ribosomal RNA is filed under the name uncultured bacterium. RNAcentral's name for it is "partial 16S ribosomal RNA". It matches the Rfam family "Bacterial small subunit ribosomal RNA", at positions 47 to 523 of the family's 1533-position model. The record is from RNAcentral.